This 50-nucleotide unclassified non-coding RNA is filed under the name Mus musculus (house mouse). RNAcentral's name for it is "partial C/D box snoRNA; brain-specific; small non-messenger RNA (snmRNA)". The record is from RNAcentral. Lineage: Eukaryota; Metazoa; Chordata; Mammalia; Rodentia; Muridae.
GAUCUGAUGGGGNCUGAGUGUUUCUCGNUGACAUGAACAGAUAUCUGAGG